RNAcentral lists this ribosomal RNA (498 nucleotides) under uncultured bacterium. Its description in RNAcentral is "partial 16S ribosomal RNA". It matches the Rfam family "Bacterial small subunit ribosomal RNA", at positions 30 to 523 of the family's 1533-position model. The record is from RNAcentral.
AUUGAACGCUGGCGGCAUGCCUUACACAUGCAAGUCGAACGGUAACAGGUCUUCGGAUGCUGACAAGUGGCGAACGGGUGAGUAAUACAUCGGAACGUGCCUAGUAGUGGGGGAUAACUACUCGAAAGAGUGGCUAAUACCGCAUGAGAUCUACGGAUGAAAGCAGGGGAUCGCAAGACCUUGUGCUACUAGAGCGGCCGAUGGCAGAUUAGGUAGUUGGUGGGAUAAAAGCUUACCAAGCCGACGAUCUGUAGCUGGUCUGAGAGGACGAUCAGCCACACGGGGAAUGAGACACGGCCCAGACUCCUACGGGAGGCAGCAGUGGGGAAUUGUGGACAAUGGGCGAAAGCCUGAUCCAGCAAUGCUGCGUGCAGGAUGAAGGCCUUCGGGUUGUAAACUGCUUUUGUACGGAACGAAAAGCCCCGGGUUAAUACCCUGGGGUCAUGACGGUACCGUAAGAAUAAGCACCGGCUAACUACGUGCCAGCAGCCGCAGUAA